RNAcentral lists this transfer RNA (71 nucleotides) under Camelus bactrianus (Bactrian camel). It matches the Rfam family "tRNA". From Rfam's summary of the family: Transfer RNA (tRNA) molecules are approximately 80 nucleotides in length. Their secondary structure includes four short double-helical elements and three loops (D, anti-codon, and T loops). The record is from Rfam by way of RNAcentral. RNAcentral also lists the same sequence under 2 other names. Lineage: Eukaryota; Metazoa; Chordata; Mammalia; Artiodactyla; Camelidae.
GGAGGUAUACUCAAUGGUAGAGUGCAUGCUUAGCGUGCACAAGGUCCUGGGUUCAAUCCCCAGUACCUCUG